GAUGAGCCCGCGUUGGAUUAGCUAGUUGGUGGGGUAAAGGCCUACCAAGGCGACGAUCCAUAGCUGGUCUGAGAGGAUGAUCAGCCACAUUGGGACUGAGACACGGCCCAAACUCCUACGGGAGGCAGCAGUGGGGAAUAUUGGACAAUGGGCGCAAGCCUGAUCCAGCCAUGCCGCGUGAGUGAUGAAGGUCUUAGGAUUGUAAAGCUCUUUCACCGGGGACGAUAAUGACGGUACCCGGAGAAGAAGCCCCGGCUAACUUCGUGCCAGCAGCCGCGGUAAUACGGAGGGGGCUAGCGUUGUUCGGAAUUACUGGGCGUAAAGCGCACGUAGGCGGAUAUUUAAGUCGGGGGUGGAAGCCUGUGGCUCAACCACAGAAUUGCCUUCGAUACUGGGAGACUUGAGUUCGGAAGAGGUUGGUGGAACUGCGAGUGUAGAGGUGAAAUUCGUAGAUAUUCGCAAGAACACCGGUGGCGAAGGCGGCCAACUGGUCCGACACUGACGCUGAGGCGCGAAAGCGUGGGGAGCAAACAGGAUUAGAUACCCUGGUAGUCCACGCC
This 560-nucleotide ribosomal RNA is filed under the name uncultured bacterium. RNAcentral's name for it is "bacterial SSU rRNA". It matches the Rfam family "Bacterial small subunit ribosomal RNA", at positions 224 to 801 of the family's 1533-position model. The record is from RNAcentral.